This is a long non-coding RNA of Heterocephalus glaber (naked mole-rat), 1418 nucleotides long. The record is from Ensembl. NCBI's taxonomy places the organism in Eukaryota, Metazoa, Chordata, Mammalia, Rodentia, Bathyergidae.
CUGGUGUUGGCUUCCCAAGGCCGGUGGCUUGGCCGUGAGGAAGACGUUCAGUUUCGGGAGUCAGAUGUUUAGCUCUUUCCCCGACUGCGGUUGAUCUCCCGGAAGGGGGCGUCAGGGCGCUCGCAGCCUCCCCGGGCCGGAUUCCUUUUCCGGCGCGGGUGCAGGCGAGGCCGCCAGAGGGCAGUGGGUCCUCCGCCUAGGGAAAACAGGUUGAAUGACCGACAGGAAGGACAGGUGCAGUUGUGGUAUCAGUGGCCAAAUAAAAGCCACAAGAUUCAUCUCCUAAAAAAUGUUAGCAUCUACUUGAAAAGUUGAGUGAUUUUAAGGAAUGUAUCCCAAUAGAGAAGGUUGUUAACAUUUUGUUCUUCUAUUCCUAAGAAGCUAAAACUGACUAUGGGCACAGGAAAUACCCAAGGGGAUUUACUGUGCUCUCUCAGCCCUCUCCAGUCUACACUUGUCUUUUGGGAGUGAGCCAGCAUGGAGGAGGAAUAGGCUAAGCUUGGUCAUCCUGGUCUAGCCAUCCUUUAGUCAACUUGAUUCCAGUUGAGACAAGAGCAGCUCAGCAGAGCACAUGCCAACUUGAUGGCCUAAAGAAUUAAAACCACAGACUGAAAAGAAUUGUAUUCGGCUCACAUUUCUGGAGGCUAGAUCGCCCAAGAUGAGGGGGCUGCAUCUGGGGAGGUCCCUGCUGUUGCACUGUGACAUGGGGAACAGCAUCACAUGGUGAGAGGAAGAAAGCAAGAGAGAGCUGAACCUGCCUGUAUUAUCAGGACCACACCCACCAAAACCAUCUCAAUUUUUCAUGACAGCGAGAGUCCUCAUGACCUAAUCCCUGUUGGAGAUUCACUGUUACUUUGAGCAUUGUUUCCAGCACAUGAACCUGCAGGACCCACUCAAACCAUAUCCCUCUCUCUCUUAUCUGGGACUCUGGGUGAGAAUGUUAUGACAAAUACUGACUAAUACACUAUGUACGUUUUGAGAAUUUCAAAUGCAUUCAUUACUCCUUCAAUUUUAACAUGUUCUUAUAUCUUUGGGUAUUAUUAGAUUUAGAUUGAUGAGAAAGGAAGUCAUUUAUAUGUGAUAAGUCUCAGCUCUUAUAUCCUUCCUCUAAACUGGUCUCUCUUUUGGAUUCCAUUCUCCCUGUUAGACUGAACUUCAUGCCCUCUGAUCCUUGAUGUUUCCUAGGUGCACCACUUGUAAUUGAGUUCCUUAGCCUAUUACUAGUUUUCAAAGGAUAACACCAUAGAAUACUCUCAUCUCAUACAUUAUUGACUAUGGACAUUCUUAAUAUGGAUUGAAACUCAGCCUUUAUGAACCACGCCACCCUUUUUAAAUAUGUGCUUAUCCUCUUUGAAUCUCUGUGUACAGAAAUUCCAAACUUAACAGAUCCUACUGAUUAAUUGCCCUUCAUAUCAAGA